This 1112-nucleotide long non-coding RNA is filed under the name Androctonus crassicauda. The record is from RNAcentral. Lineage: Eukaryota; Metazoa; Arthropoda; Arachnida; Scorpiones; Buthidae.
CUCAGCCAUAACUCCAGCUAAAGGGCCCCCUAUAGGCACUCCUGUUUUUUGCAAGUAGUACUUCCCUUGAAAGACAUAAUAGGAAUUAUAUGUAAUGAGAUGACAAAUCUCCCUAAUGGUGGAUGCAUGUGCUUUCUUCUCUGGUAGAUGUUCUAGGAUAAACCGGUAUACCAAAAGUGCUGCCAGAUCUUGGUGAAUGGAUGGGUAGAGCGCUUCAUAAUCCAUGAUCAUAUAUGUUUCAUUAGGGAAGGGGGCCGCACUCUAACAUCUUUUCUAAAAAAUCCAAGAAAGAAGUUGUAGUAUACCAGUAGCCUUUAAGAUGUGUGAGUGCCCAUGUGGCAAUGGUAUCUAAUUCGUAAAGGGGGGACAUCUUUUUAUCCACCAUGGGUCUGAUGGAAAUAGGGUCCUUAUGAGCCUUAAUAUAUCCAAAUAGUCGUGAAGCAUAGAAGCAUCUAAUCUUUUUCACUUUCCAAACCUUGGGAAAGUACUUGGAUCUAAUCAAAUUAGACAUCUUGACUACCACAUUAUCUGUAAGGUCUUUUUGUAAGAGUUGUGACCCAGACUGAGACACAAAGUCCAUUAAGAGGUUUACGUAUUGAUCUUUUUGUAUAAGAGUCAGCUUCUUUGUCUUAUCAUCUCUUGUGCAUAUUAUGUCAUUGUCUUCCAUCCACUCUUUUGCAUACCAUAAUAUGGCCUAUUGCUUCUUGUUAUUUCUUCCUCUGUGGACUUUGGUGCUAUUUAGGAUUAGCUGCCAGGGUACCUUCUCUUUGUAUGUUUCUUCAUAUCUUGUAACACGUGGUCAAUUUGAGGUGCAAGCAAAGAGAAAUCCGGCCUUCUGUCCAUGACCGUCAUCGGGCCUUCAAGGAUCAGAUCUUGGAUGGGUUGCGGGACCACUAUUUCCCUAACGACCACUGCAACAUCAUUCAACUGGAGAUCUGGUCUCUUGGGUCUGGUACGUUGUUUCCAGAGUAUCCAUUUAAAUUUCUUCAUAUAUUUGGCCCUAAUCUUAUUCUUUAAUAGAGGAAAGAUCGUUGUAAGUGAAAAAUGCAGUUUUUAGCUUGUUGCGUAAUGACAAACCGAUGAUUGAUAUGGAGAAUAGGCCAGGGGUUUAC